AAUCUGAAGCUAUCUAUCUUCCCAAAUGGAAUGUUAUGCAGACCUCUUGUCCUCCCUCCUGCUUGUUGUGGCAGAGAUUUAUACUUGUAAUCUCCCAGAACAUUUGAAUUAGAGAUGUGAGUCCCGAUGCCAACUGUCUACAGGUUGAAAUUAUAAAGAGGCUUAGGCACAUCAUGUUGAAGGGAGCAAUUUGGGAAGGAUAAAGCUGUUGAUGAAUGGCCAAAAAAGGACAAGUUAAGGGGAAAAAUUGGAACCAAAGAGCCCAGAUUGUGAGUUCCUUGAAAGAAGAAUCUGUGUCUUGUUCACCAUUGUUUUUCCUUACCUGUAACAGAAACCCUGGCACCAGGUAGGCAAGUCUUUGAUAAAUAUUUCUGGAUUGAUUAAGUUGUAUUUAUUCAUUAAAUGUAUGCAAAUUUCCUUUGUUUUUGCUACUAUCCUGGCAUUGCAUGUUACUUCCAUGAAGCUGAUCUUUGAAAGCAAAAUGUUAACAUCUUAUGGCAGGUAAUUUUUGCCUUGAUAGCCUGUGAUGAGUUACUGACUGCUUGUUAGAAAUGUCGCUGCCUUGUUCCUGUUAGGCUUACAGCUGACAUGUUGAAAAAUUUAUUCAAUGUAUAAAAAAGCUCUACAAAGAUAUUCAUUGUAUCACUGUUUAUAAUUGGGAAUUGUUUGGAUAGUCGAAUAAGCUGUGUUACAUCCAAACUAUGAAACACUAUGCAACAAUUAUGAAGAAGAAGGUAGAUCUAUGUCUUAUAAAAUAAAUUGAUAUUCUACUUAAAAAAAAAGCAAAUGGCUAAAAGAUACUUUCAGUACAAUACCAUAUCAAAAAAACUGCAGUGUAUUUUCUGUGGUUACCAUAGAG
Pan troglodytes (chimpanzee) is the source of this 859-nucleotide long non-coding RNA. RefSeq lists it as uncharacterized. The transcript has 4 exons. Lineage: Eukaryota; Metazoa; Chordata; Mammalia; Primates; Hominidae. The record is from RefSeq and is a predicted model, not a curated record.